GUUGCUCCGUUUCCCAGGAUGGACCCCGCGGUGUCGCUGCUGCUGUUACUCGCCCUCUCGCCCUGUGUCCGGUCCCAAAUCCAGCUGGUCCAGUCCGGGCCGGGCGCGGUGAAGCCCGGAGAGACCCUCACCCUGAGCUGCGCCGUGUCUGGUUACACCAUUUCUUCUGGCUACGACUGGGCUUGGAACCGGCAGGCUCCCGGAAAAGGUUUAGAAUACCUGGGGCUUGUGUAUGGACCCAGCGGGAGCACAAACUACGCCCCGGCCUUCCAGAGCCGGAUCAGCGUCGCCAGAGACACCGCCAAGAACCAGUUCUCCCUGCAGCUCCGCUCGCUGACAGCUGCAGACACCGCCACCUAUUACUGCGCCAGGGGAGACACAGUGACACAGAGCGCAGCAGGGCCCGUACUAAAAGGGGAAGCGGUUUCUGUGCAGCCAUUCAGGGCACUUAACGCCUCAUUUUCCUCUCGCGGAGAGGGGCAGGAACAGAGAAGGGAGAAUCUCUAA
Non-coding RNA from Pelodiscus sinensis (Chinese soft-shelled turtle), 507 nucleotides. The record is from the annotation of a RefSeq genome assembly. Lineage: Eukaryota; Metazoa; Chordata; Testudines; Trionychidae.